This 253-nucleotide ribosomal RNA is filed under the name uncultured bacterium. RNAcentral describes it as "partial 16S ribosomal RNA". It matches the Rfam family "Bacterial small subunit ribosomal RNA", at positions 524 to 776 of the family's 1533-position model. The record is from RNAcentral.
UACGGGGGGGGCAAGCGUUGUUCGGAAUUACUGGGCGUAAAGGGCGCGUAGGCGGCCAUCUAAGUCAGACGUGAAAUCCCCCGGCUUAACCUGGGAACUGCGUCUGAUACUGGAAGGCUUGAGUAUGGGAGAGGGAUGUAGAAUUCCAGGUGUAGCGGUGAAAUGCGUAGAUAUCUGGAGGAAUACCGGUGGCGAAGGCGGCAUCCUGGACCAUUACUGACGCUGAGGCGCGAAAGCUAGGGGAGCAAACGGG